UGGGGAAUAUUGCACAAUGGGCGCAAGCCUGAUGCAGCCAUGCCGCGUGUAUGAAGAAGGCCUUCGGGUUGUAAAGUACUUUCAGCGGGGAGGAAGGGAGUAAAGUUAAUACCUUUGCUCAUCGACGUUACCCGCAGAAGAAGCACCGGCUAACUCCGUGCCAGCAGCCGCGGUAAUACGGAGGGUGCAAGCGUUAAUCGGAAUUACUGGGCGUAAAGCGCACGCAGGCGGUUUGUUAAGUCAGAGGUGAAAUCCCCGGGCUCAACCUGGGAACUGCAUCUGAUACUGGCAAGCUGGAGUCUCGUAGAGGGGGGUAGAAUUCCAGGUGUAGCGGUGAAAUGCGUAGAGAUCUGGAGGAAUACCGGUGGCGAAGGCGGCCCCCUGGACGAAGACUGACGCUCAGGUGCGAAAGCGUGGGGAGCAAACAGG
Molecule: ribosomal RNA, 429 nt
Filed under: Chloroflexota bacterium
Lineage: Bacteria; Bacillati; Chloroflexota
Description: Chloroflexi bacterium partial 16S ribosomal RNA
Rfam family: Bacterial small subunit ribosomal RNA
Source: RNAcentral